RNAcentral lists this ribosomal RNA (786 nucleotides) under Kintaqa schwendingeri. Its description in RNAcentral is "partial 28S ribosomal RNA". It matches the Rfam family "Eukaryotic large subunit ribosomal RNA", at positions 354 to 883 of the family's 3401-position model. Lineage: Eukaryota; Metazoa; Arthropoda; Arachnida; Araneae; Pholcidae. The record is from RNAcentral.
UGAGGAAAGUUGCAAAGAACUUGAAGAGAGAGUUCAAGAGUACGUGAAACUGCUCGGAAGGAAACGGGUGGAUCUUCGAAGUCCGAGGGAGCGGGGAUCAGUGACGGGCGGCGAGGAGUGUCCGAGCCUCAUAUUCCGUAAAAAGAAAUGAGUGACGAGCACCGUCCUCCCGCCAGUCGCGCACUUCUCGCUCCCGACGGACGCAGCAGCCGGUCUGGCAGUCGGCAGUGAGGACUGGAGGGGAGAUGGCGUGGGCGUAGACCCAGCGUCUUCGUCCCGAUUCUGUACCCUUCGUGUUCCCGGUGCGACGCCGGACCGAGGGAAUUAGUCCGGACUAGUAUGUCCGGACGUGCCGUGGUCUCGCCAGAUGGAAGAGCGGGGGCGAGGUCCGGUUCUACCGGCCCCCGGCUCACCGGUGGCGUGGGUCGCCGGAAAAGUGGUGAACCGUUAGUCCGCGACCGCACCGAGGAUAGCGUGUGCCGAAGGCCUGCGGCGAGUAGGUCGGUAACCCACCCGACCCGUCUUGAAACACGGACCAAGGAGUACGACUUGUGCGCGAGUCAGUGGGACUCGAUUAAGCCCACGGGCGAAAUGAAAGUGAUUGGUGUUAUCAAAACCGUAAAAAUCAAACGCCUGGUUCGGCCUCCGAGCAGGGCCCACCCGCCCCGGUGGUCGUCUUCGACGGCGCGGGUCGGAGUGAGAGCGCACAGGUUGUGACCCGAAAGACGGUGAACUAUGCCCGGGCAGGUCGAAGCCGGAGGAAAACCUGGUGGAGGUCCGCAGCGG